RNAcentral lists this antisense RNA (75 nucleotides) under Actinokineospora bangkokensis. RNAcentral describes it as "ASpks TB sRNA". It matches the Rfam family "ASpks TB sRNA". The record is from Rfam by way of RNAcentral. Lineage: Bacteria; Bacillati; Actinomycetota; Actinomycetes; Pseudonocardiales; Pseudonocardiaceae.
CUUCACCGAGCCCAGCCAGAGCGGGUCGGCGUCGGUGCGCGCCUUGCCGUAGGUGGCCAGCAGCGCCUGCGCCUC